UACGAAGGGGGCUAGCGUUGCUCGGAAUUACUGGGCGUAAAGGGAGCGUAGGCGGAUCGUUAAGUUGGGGGUGAAAGCCCGGGGCUCAACCUCGGAACUGCCUUCAAUACUGGCGAUCUUGAGUAUGAGAGAGGUGUGUGGAACUCCGAGUGUAGAGGUGAAAUUCGUAGAUAUUCGGAAGAACACCAGUGGCGAAGGCGACACACUGGCUCAUUACUGACGCUGAGGCUCGAAAGCGUGGGGAGCAAACAGG
This 253-nucleotide ribosomal RNA is filed under the name uncultured bacterium. RNAcentral's name for it is "partial 16S ribosomal RNA". It matches the Rfam family "Bacterial small subunit ribosomal RNA", at positions 524 to 776 of the family's 1533-position model. The record is from RNAcentral.